This 25-nucleotide ribosomal RNA is filed under the name Plantago ovata (blond plantain). Its description in RNAcentral is "partial 5.8S ribosomal RNA". Lineage: Eukaryota; Viridiplantae; Streptophyta; Magnoliopsida; Lamiales; Plantaginaceae. The record is from RNAcentral.
AUCUUGGAAGUCAAAACGACUCUCG